AGUGAACGCUGGCGGUAGGCCUAACACAUGCAAGUCGAACGGCAGCACAGUAAGAGCUUGCUCUUACGGGUGGCGAGUGGCGGACGGGUGAGGAAUACAUCGGAAUCUACUUUUUCGUGGGGGAUAACGUAGGGAAACUUACGCUAAUACCGCAUACGACCUACGGGUGAAAGCAGGGGAUCUUCGGACCUUGCGCGAUUGAAUGAGCCGAUGUCGGAUUAGCUAGUUGGCGGGGUAAAGGCCCACCAAGGCGACGAUCCGUAGCUGGUCUGAGAGGAUGAGGGGAGCCAGGGGAAGUGAGAAAGGGACAAGGCACCGAGGGGUGUCAGAAGGAGGGGAGGUGGGAGAAGGGGCGAAAGGGUUAGACAGCAAUAGCGCGUGGGAGAAAAAGGACUUGGGGUUGUAAAGCUCUUUUGUUGGGAAAGAAAAAAAGCAAGCGAAUGCGACGGGGGUCUGACGGUACGCAAAGAAAAAGAACCGGCUAACGUAGUG
RNAcentral lists this ribosomal RNA (492 nucleotides) under uncultured bacterium. RNAcentral describes it as "partial 16S ribosomal RNA". It matches the Rfam family "Bacterial small subunit ribosomal RNA", at positions 30 to 507 of the family's 1533-position model. The record is from RNAcentral.